This 1475-nucleotide ribosomal RNA is filed under the name Lacticaseibacillus casei. Its description in RNAcentral is "Lactobacillus casei 16S ribosomal RNA". It matches the Rfam family "Bacterial small subunit ribosomal RNA". RNAcentral also lists the same sequence under 1 other name. The record is from RNAcentral. Lineage: Bacteria; Bacillati; Bacillota; Bacilli; Lactobacillales; Lactobacillaceae.
GAACGCUGGCGGCGUGCCUAAUACAUGCAAGUCGAACGAGUUCUCGUUGAUGAUCGGUGCUUGCACCGAGAUUCAACAUGGAACGAGUGGCGGACGGGUGAGUAACACGUGGGUAACCUGCCCUUAAGUGGGGGAUAACAUUUGGAAACAGAUGCUAAUACCGCAUAGAUCCAAGAACCGCAUGGUUCUUGGCUGAAAGAUGGCGUAAGCUAUCGCUUUUGGAUGGACCCGCGGCGUAUUAGCUAGUUGGUGAGGUAAUGGCUCACCAAGGCGAUGAUACGUAGCCGAACUGAGAGGUUGAUCGGCCACAUUGGGACUGAGACACGGCCCAAACUCCUACGGGAGGCAGCAGUAGGGAAUCUUCCACAAUGGACGCAAGUCUGAUGGAGCAACGCCGCGUGAGUGAAGAAGGCUUUCGGGUCGUAAAACUCUGUUGUUGGAGAAGAAUGGUCGGCAGAGUAACUGUUGUCGGCGUGACGGUAUCCAACCAGAAAGCCACGGCUAACUACGUGCCAGCAGCCGCGGUAAUACGUAGGUGGCAAGCGUUAUCCGGAUUUAUUGGGCGUAAAGCGAGCGCAGGCGGUUUUUUAAGUCUGAUGUGAAAGCCCUCGGCUUAACCGAGGAAGCGCAUCGGAAACUGGGAAACUUGAGUGCAGAAGAGGACAGUGGAACUCCAUGUGUAGCGGUGAAAUGCGUAGAUAUAUGGAAGAACACCAGUGGCGAAGGCGGCUGUCUGGUCUGUAACUGACGCUGAGGCUCGAAAGCAUGGGUAGCGAACAGGAUUAGAUACCCUGGUAGUCCAUGCCGUAAACGAUGAAUGCUAGGUGUUGGAGGGUUUCCGCCCUUCAGUGCCGCAGCUAACGCAUUAAGCAUUCCGCCUGGGGAGUACGACCGCAAGGUUGAAACUCAAAGGAAUUGACGGGGGCCCGCACAAGCGGUGGAGCAUGUGGUUUAAUUCGAAGCAACGCGAAGAACCUUACCAGGUCUUGACAUCUUUUGAUCACCUGAGAGAUCAGGUUUCCCCUUCGGGGGCAAAAUGACAGGUGGUGCAUGGUUGUCGUCAGCUCGUGUCGUGAGAUGUUGGGUUAAGUCCCGCAACGAGCGCAACCCUUAUGACUAGUUGCCAGCAUUUAGUUGGGCACUCUAGUAAGACUGCCGGUGACAAACCGGAGGAAGGUGGGGAUGACGUCAAAUCAUCAUGCCCCUUAUGACCUGGGCUACACACGUGCUACAAUGGAUGGUACAACGAGUUGCGAGACCGCGAGGUCAAGCUAAUCUCUUAAAGCCAUUCUCAGUUCGGACUGUAGGCUGCAACUCGCCUACACGAAGUCGGAAUCGCUAGUAAUCGCGGAUCAGCACGCCGCGGUGAAUACGUUCCCGGGCCUUGUACACACCGCCCGUCACACCAUGAGAGUUUGUAACACCCGAAGCCGGUGGCGUAACCCUUUUAGGGAGCGAGCCGUCUAAGGUGGGAC